GACGAACGCUGGCGGUGUGCCUAACACAUGCAAGUCGAACGGUAAGGCCCUUUCGGGGGUCCACGAGUGGCGAACGGGUGAGUAACACGUGAGUAACCUGCCCUCAUCUCUGGGAUAACAGUCGGAAACGGUUGCUAAUACUGGAUAUGAGCUUGCAAGGCAUCUUGUGGGUUGGAAAGAUUUUUUUGGUUGGGGAUGGACUCGCGGCCUAUCAGCUUGUUGGUGAGGUAGUGGCUCACCAAGGCUUCGACGGGUAGCCGGCCUGAGAGGGCGACCGGCCACAUUGGGACUGAGAUACGGCCCAAACUCCUACGGGAGGCAGCAGUGGGGAAUAUUGCACAAUGGACGGAAGUCUGAUGCAGCAACGCCGCGUGCGGGAUGACGGCCUUCGGGUUGUAAACCGCUUUCAAUUGUGACGAAGCUUUUUGUGACGGUAGCAGUAGAAGAAGCACCGGCUAACUACGUG
Molecule: ribosomal RNA, 466 nt
Filed under: uncultured bacterium
Lineage: Bacteria
Description: partial 16S ribosomal RNA
Rfam family: Bacterial small subunit ribosomal RNA
Source: RNAcentral